This is a long non-coding RNA of Orbicella faveolata, 4536 nucleotides long. The record is from RefSeq and is a predicted model, not a curated record. Lineage: Eukaryota; Metazoa; Cnidaria; Anthozoa; Scleractinia; Merulinidae.
AAAAUGUUGUCUGUGAAUGUUUGUUUACACGCAUGCCGACAAUCACCUUUUAUGCCAUGAAAUGAACAAGUCAGCAUCAUUUUUUCUGUGCGAAUUACUUUGAAGCCUGCUAUUUCACAUUGUUAUUCUUUUAUUUUCUGAGUUUAUCAUUCCAGUUAGUGAAUAAUAUUUUUAUUUUCAACUAAACAAAGAAACAAGCUAUGAAAUUAGCAAGGUAAGAAAGUAAUAGCACACUUGUGAUAAAAAAUUUUGUUUGCCAACGACACUCGUUGAUAUGUUUUCAAUUUGCAUCGGUUUUCAUCGAGAGCAUUUAAGUCUACAGGCGAUGAAAGCGGGAUAAAUGAGGCAAUACACACUUUUUAGGACCAGUUUCUUUAAAGACUUAUAUUUUUUCCCUGCUUACAGUUUUAAUACUAUACUGGAAGAUUUAAAAAUUAUCACAUUACCCGCACCUUCCUAUAACCCGCACCAACAAAUGUUUGCGUUGAAAUUAACAGUUAACAACAACUCGCUCUCUAAUAAUAUUGUAUGGACAAAAAAUAACAAGACAAAUCUGGCAGUAAAUGGGACCAUGGACACUAGGUGCUCCCUGGGAUAGCAAUGAGAGUGAGUGAUAGCGACACACCCUGGACAGGUAAUUGGGUGGUUAGCGGACACACCCGGCAAACAAAGUGGGGCGGUUAGCAGACACAAACCCAAAGCAGAAACUUGGGCGGUUGGCAGACACCCAGUGAAUGAAUUGGGGUGAUAGCGCCGUGACCCAGAGAACGAAGCCCCUAAACCUAGCUGCUUAGGUAGGUAAGAAUAAGGUGGGGUAAGGGACCCACCCAGCCUGACUCAGGCAGUAGCUAAGUGGAAGGUGUGCACCCAGGCCAGUAGUCCAAAUUUAUUAUGGGGGGUAGAGGAGGGAAAGGAAACACUGUACACUAGUAGUUGGGUCACUAGCGGACACACCCUGCAAACAAAGUGGGGCAGUUAGCGGACUCAAACCCCAAAGCAUAAACACAACGUGGGGUGGUUAGCGAACACAAACCCCAAAGCAGAAACUUGGGUGGUUGGCGGACACACCCACUAAAUGAAUUAGGGUGAUAGCGCAGUGACCCAGAGUAUAAAGCCCCCCAACCUAGCUGCUUAGGUAGGUAAGAAUAAGGUGGGGUAAGGGACCCACCCAGCCUGACGCAGGCGAUAGCUAAGUGGAAGGUGUGCACCCAGGCCAGUAGUCCAAAUUUAUUAUGGGGGGUAGAGGAGGGAAAGGAAACACUGUACACUAGUAGUUGGGUCACUAGCGGACACACCCUGCAAACAAAGUGGGGCAGUUAGCGGACUCAAACCCCAAAGCAUAAACACAACGUGGGGUGGUUAGCGAACACAAACCCCAAAGCAGAAACUUGGGUGGUUGGCGGACACACCCACUAAAUGAAUUAGGGUGAUAGCGCAGUGACCCAGAGUAUAAAGCCCCCCAACCUAGCUGCUUAGGUAGGUAAGAAUAAGGUGGGGUAAGGGACCCACCCAGCCUGACGCAGGCGAUAGCUAAGUGGAAGGUGUGUACCCAAAUUAUGCCCCAAAUACUGCCAGGUACAUAGUGACAAAUAUUAGUGCAACUUUAACAAGGUCUACAUUGUCCUGUGCUUAUAUCCCAAAUUUGUAGUGGAGUACUAUGGGUGGCGGCUAGCUGGGCAGGAACUGCUUGGAGUAUUGAAGCAGGUGUCCUGAUGUAGUGGGUGUAGCAAUUGCUGGACCAACGGCUGAGGGUUUGGAUAAGCAAAGGGGCAAGCCGGCCUCUGCAGCAGUAGUUGCAGCUGCAAUAAGGAAACUGGGAUCGGAUGCAUAGGACUCUGUUGCGAAACCCAAGCAUUGAAGCUGGAGGCGCAGAAUUGAGGUUACUUUGUCCCUGGUGAGAAAUUUUCCAGUUGAGAAGAAAUAAAGGGGGGUGAAAUUGCCUGGAAGCUGGUGAGCCAGGUAAUGGCGCAUUGCCCGUACUGCACAGACUGAAAAGCCAGAAGGAGUGAGUGUAAUGGAACAGCCCAUCCGGAAGGGAUCAGUUUUGGAGGAUUUCAGUUGCAAUGAUAAGGAGCCUGCGGAGAUAAAACUGAUGUCUGAGCGGGACAGGUGUACCAGCGGGUUGAAGUGAACUGAAGAUGGUGAGGUGAGCUCGCUCGAACGCAAGAAGGCAAAGAAGGCCAGAGUAAAGGCUGAUUAGAGCAUGAGUUUGUCCUGUGAUGCGAUCUGAGGGUCAUCUGCCAAAGCUCCGUUUAGCUGGCGUAUGACUGACAUGGUGAUAGGUAGACGGCGGCAAGAGGAGAGUCCAAUUGUCCGCUUGAUGCCUCGUAGAAGUAAACGAAGUAGGGGGGCAUCUGCAAACGGGUCUGCAAGGCUGUUUUCGAUGUGGGCAAACAGGAUACCAGCUAGAUACAGCUUAAUGGUUGGGAAGCUGACUUGAUAAGAGAGCCAAGAGGCAAAAUAACGUAGUUGUAACUCUGAUGCAGGGAAGGGGUUCCAUUGCCUUGAACAACUAAAGGUAGUAUACCCGCGAAUUCCAGUGCAGUAGGUGCGACGUGUGGAAGGUGCAAUGGCUUGAGACUGCAGAAAGGCUAGGUGACCAGCCAGAGGGUCGGCGCUGAGGGGGGCAUAGUCGUCGGCUCCAAAUCUGCCUGCGGGGUGAGUUGGCGGAACUGGAGCGUCUGAAAACGGGACAAAGCAUCAGCAAUUGAAUUGUCUGUACCUCAAAUGUGAGAGACAAGAAUGGAGAAUUGGUGGGAUAGAGUGCAAAAGAAGAUUGAACGAACAAGGUGCAUAAGGAGGGGGUCACAGGAAGUACCCUUUGCCCAAAUGUCCACAACUGAUUGGUUAUCACAGUGGAAUAGCAGUUUCUUGUCCCUCCAAAGUGGACCCCACAGGAAGCAGGCAAGAGCUAUGGGGUAGAGCUCCUUCUACUGGAUGGAGCGAUCAGACAGGUUGGAGGGCCAGGAACCAUUCAGCCAAUGACCUUGAAAGUAGAUGCCAAAACCAAGACCUCCAGAUGCAUCAGUGAAGAGCGCGAGAUCAGGAGAUCUUGACCAAAAGGGGUCAGGAAUAAUAGCUUGGCCGUUCCAGACAAAGAUACUUCAGCCACCAAGCAACAUCCCUGCAAACUUUAGCAUUGAGGGAUAUAUGAUGGUGGGGUAGGCGAGCAGUGGUACCCAGGUCAAUCAAGCGCCACAGGAAUAUGCGACCAGCUGGGAUGAUUCAACAGGCGAAGUUAAGUUUACCAAUGAGGGAGAGAAGUUCUCUUUUAAUGCACUUUUUUCGAGAAGACCAGGUAUGAAGUUCAGUCACAAGCUCUGACAGUUUAUCAGGAGGUAAGGAGCAUUCCAUGAGAUUGGAAUCAAUCAAUAUGCCAAGAAACACCAGACGAGAGGUUGGACCCUCCAGCUUGUUGGGGGGCCAAGGGGAUACCCAGGCGGUCAGCGGUUUUAACUAUGAUGUCGACUUGAGAUGGGCAUAGUGGUGACAAUGGAGGACCUACGGUAAAGUAAUCAUCAAGGUAGUGCAUGAGAGUGGAGAUAGCGUAAUUGUGCUUAAGUAUCCACUCAAAGGCAUCGGCUAAACAGUUAAAUAGGAACGGUGAGGAAUGGAGCCCAAAGGGUAGGCGGAGAUCCACAUAGAAUUUGCCUUGCCAGUGCAUGCCAAGGAGGUCCCAGUCACUGGGGGAUACAGGACAGAGACGAAAGGUGUGCUUAAGGUUGAGCUUAGCCAUGAGAGCACCAGCGCCAAAUUAGGAUACUAAGGCUAGGGCUUGAUCGAAGGUAGCGUAGUGUAAGGUGUAAUCCUCUUUAGAGAUAAAAUCAUUGAUGGACGAACCUUGAGGCGAAGAGAGAUCCACGAUAAUAUGCCAGGAGCCAUCCUUUUUGGGAACAAGCCUAGAGGUGAGCACUGAAGGGUUGGAAAGGGAGGAGACGAGAAGGGGCCUGCUGUGUGGCCUCUACUAACCUCUUUCAUGAGCACCUCAGUGACUGCAUUGGGGUGAAGGAGAGUAGAUUUUAAAUUCGGGGUGAUUCUGUGGUAGCAUGGACUCUGAUAGCGACAGCCAAACCGGAGUUCAUGGACCAGAUCUGAAGCAAAUUUGCCAUUUUCUAAACGAGCGGCAAUCUGGGUACGACUUGCGACCGCAAAGCCGCUAGGGAUUGUUUGGAGGGACAAGGAAGUAAACAAAAUAUAGCGGAAAGCAGAAAAAUUCCUCGCGAAACUGUAGAACAAUACAGUGUUGUGCAAUUGAAAAGAUGGUUGCUGUGCAGAGGAGCUAAGACAACGGGAAAUAAGAAAGCAGUAGUGACAAGGUACGUUUGCUUCUAAAAUCAGAGUGAAAUUAUUCUUGUCUUGUUUAUUUAAUGUUUUUUGUUUUGUUGGUAGGGUUCAAGAUUAUGUUAAACAUGGAUUAGAUGUUAAAUAUCUCCAUGAUCCAGACGGUGGACUUCACCUUUUGCGAAAGAAAGCUCAACUUGGCGUCCUUGAGAAGGAAGAACCACAACUCAGCCAGUCUUUUCCAAAAGAAGGUUA